GUUUCUAAUUGGUAAUAUUUUUUAAAUGUAUCAUUAUGGUGGUGAAUAUUGUUCAGUAAGUAUUUGGCAUACAGUCAUUAAUUAGAAAUCUGUGACUAACUUAUCUAUAACGAUUAUCUAUUGACAUGUUUGUAAGUAUUAUAAUUGAAUUUUUCAUCAGCACAUAUUACUAAGAUUUCACUUUCUUUAACCAGGGAACGUUAAACACGCUCAUUAUAUAGACUUAAAAUGUUUUUGCCUAGUUCUCCUAGAAUUUAGAAUAGUUGAUCUUAUAGUAUUUUCCCUUUGUCAUAAUUUCCACCUGUGUUUAAAUUGUAACAAAUCAUUAACCGGACAUCUAUUGACAUACCUAUUUAAAAG
RNAcentral lists this long non-coding RNA (360 nucleotides) under Bos taurus (domestic cattle). RNAcentral describes it as "long non-coding RNA NONBTAT019636". The record is from RNAcentral. Lineage: Eukaryota; Metazoa; Chordata; Mammalia; Artiodactyla; Bovidae.